UACAGAGGGUGCAAGCGUUGUUCGGAAUCAUUGGCGUAAAGCGCGUGUAGGCGGUCCGGUAAGUCCGCUGUGAAAGUCGGGGGCUCAACCCUCGAAUGCCGGUGGAUACUGUCGGGCUAGAGUGCGGAAGAGGCGAGUGGAAUUCCUGGUGUAGCGGUGAAAUGCGCAGAUAUCAGGAGGAACACCUAUUGCGAAGGCAGCUCGCUGGGACGUAACUGACGCUGAGACGCGAAAGCGUGGGGAGCAAACAGG
This 252-nucleotide ribosomal RNA is filed under the name uncultured bacterium. RNAcentral describes it as "partial 16S ribosomal RNA". It matches the Rfam family "Bacterial small subunit ribosomal RNA", at positions 524 to 776 of the family's 1533-position model. The record is from RNAcentral.